CUUUCUUCCUUUUGGUGCGAGCUUGCUGUGGUUUUUGCUCUGGGUCCUCUGGGAUGGCGCCUGGCUGUGGCCGCGUGGUCUCUCACGCAGGGGCGCCGGGCGGGGGAACGCGGCCACCCUGAGUCUGGUGAGUCGACUGCGGCGGCCUGUGUCCGAAGUGUCCGGGGCCGUGAACAAGGGCAGCGGCCUGGCCUCAGGCCUGCGUUCCCACGUUUGGAAACGGGGAGCUUCGUCGAUUUGUGUUUACAUCAUCGACUAUGCCAGGGAGUUCUCCAGAUAAGCCUGGUUUUAUUUUCGUCAGUGAAAAGGCCUUACCGUAUAACUGACUUUAUGCUUGCCCUGCCCCCGUAUAAAAUAACUUAAAAGCAGCGUGCCUGGUUACAGCUGUUUCCACGUGCGGUGCUCGUCGGGAGUGAUCACCUACCCUACAGGUGAGUUUUCACGUUCGUGCAAGACCAGUCGCCAUUUAAAACGCAUCGCAUUUCACUUUUCAUUAUUAAGUCGGAUUUUAAAUCGUGAGAAAAUUUCUCUGAAAUGUAUUGUCCGUUUUUAGGCUGUAAUCGGCAUUACUGUCAGCCAGUCAGCAACCUUAUGCCAUAAAGCCUACCUCACGCAGUGUCAGCCUUUGUGUUGCCCAUUCACUUUGGAAACUAGUGAAUGUGGUGUCAAAAAAGGCGUAAAUUAAACGCUUUGCAGCCUUUUCCUGCCCUUAAAUUUGAUACCUUUGGUGUAGGAGCUGCAUAAGUAACAGUUGCUGCUUUUACGUUUCCACGCGUGAUCUUGACCCUGCUAGCCUUAAGUGUAUGGUUUCUCUUAGCCAGUUCUAAUUUUUGUUCAGGUGGAAGAUGGAUGCCUGAAGUGUAGACUGCUGCUAGCUGAAUACCAUCUGGGAGCAUAAAGGUGACCUGAAGGAUGUCCUUGGUGAGGAUUUUGAAAAUUUGAUCUUCACAAGAGUUGCCUGGAUCAUUUGAAAUUUCUGGGAGUCUGAGGAGUACUGACAUAAUUACCUGCUGGAGUCUGUAAAUACACAUUUAAGACAGUGAGGAUGUGAAUAAAUAUAUUAAUGCACUUUGGCA
This 1076-nucleotide long non-coding RNA is filed under the name Homo sapiens (human). The stretch from base 621 to 753 matches the Rfam family "Small nucleolar RNA SNORA13". The record is from RNAcentral. Lineage: Eukaryota; Metazoa; Chordata; Mammalia; Primates; Hominidae.